GCCGGAUUAGCUCAUUUGGUGUAGAGCGGCGCUCUUGUAAAGCGCAGGCGAUCGGUUCGAAACCGAUAUCCGGCUC
This 76-nucleotide transfer RNA is filed under the name Streptomyces phage Wofford. RNAcentral describes it as "tRNA-Thr". It matches the Rfam family "tRNA". From Rfam's summary of the family: Transfer RNA (tRNA) molecules are approximately 80 nucleotides in length. Lineage: Duplodnaviria; Heunggongvirae; Uroviricota; Caudoviricetes; Stanwilliamsviridae. RNAcentral also lists the same sequence under 1 other name. The record is from RNAcentral.